AGCCUUGAAAAUUCAAGUAUCCGUUAUAGGCAAGUCGAAUAACAAGUCGGUUAAUUUUAUUACUUGCAAGUCCAAGUCAAGUAUCAUAAUAUUUUUGAUAGUUGCUUCGUUAUUUGCCUCAUUUUGAUAUUUGUCAUAUUACUCGUUACUUGUAUAUGUGACUUGUGGGAUCGUUAACAACUAGAUCUAGACAUAACUUUCUCCAGAACCUACUCUUUUAAUAAGUCCUUUAUUAACUAGAGAUCUACCUGAACAAAUAUUUCUCCAUCUAUAGGAUGGAGAGUAUGAAUUAUAUUAUUCAAAGGGUUGGAUUUCCGAAAAUAACGUCCUUUAAAAACCCGCGCAAAGAGUGAAUUUGGAACCGUGAUUAAACGCCAUAAUUGUUUAGCUAGAAGAGCCGAAUUAAAAUUGUCUACACUACGAAAACCCAAACCCCCUUCCGAUUUACUAUAACACACCUUAUCCCAUGCCAUCCAAUGCAUACCUCUAGAUUCACCAUUUGAACUCCACCAGAAUUUUGGGAUUGCACUCGUGAGCUUCGAUGUGAUUGUUUUCGGUAGUGUAAAGCAAGACAUAACAUAAGUUGGUAAUGCCGUAGCUACCAAUUUAAUCAUCACCUCUUUUCCUCCUUUCGAUAAAAACUUAGCUGACCAUCCAUUUAUCCUAUUUUGUAAUCUAUCUCUAACAAAAGAGAACAUUUUUGUUUUAGAUCCACCUAGACUUUCUGGUAAACCAAGACAGGAGCCCAUACCACCAAGAUUAGUGAUUCCCUGUUGAUUUUAUUUCUGCCUUAAGUGAAUCAUCUACCUUAUGACCAAACUGUAUCGAGGACUUUGAAAAAUUUAUUUGUUGUCCUGAAACCGCUUCGUAUUGCUUUAAAAUUUCCAAGAUUACUCCACACUGCUCUUUGCUAGCUUUGCAAAAGAAUAAACUAUCAUCUGCAAAUAACAAAUGAGUUACAGAGGAGCUUGCCGUAUCUACUUUCAUACCAGUAAUCAAUUUUCGUUGUUCAGCUUUUCGAAUAUUCGCAAUAAGCACCUCCGUACAUAGAAUAAAUAUGUAAGAAGAUAGCGGAUUUCCUUGUCUUUAAUCUCUCCCCGGUACUAUCAAGCCUCUAGGUUAUCUAUUAAUAAAAACCUGAUAUUGGACUGUUGUUGUAGACCACAUUAUCCAUGAAAUCCACUUUUCGCAGAAACCCAUUUUUCUAUAUUAUCCAUGAAAUCAUGUACACUUUUUUAUUAUGAAAUAACGAAUAUUGUAAUAAAAAUAAAGUUAUUAAUUUUCUAAAGAAUCUUACCUAAACUACUUUU
This 1310-nucleotide small RNA is filed under the name Arabidopsis thaliana (thale cress). RNAcentral's name for it is "ATSL154050". Lineage: Eukaryota; Viridiplantae; Streptophyta; Magnoliopsida; Brassicales; Brassicaceae. The record is from RNAcentral.